This 526-nucleotide ribosomal RNA is filed under the name uncultured bacterium. Its description in RNAcentral is "bacterial SSU rRNA". It matches the Rfam family "Bacterial small subunit ribosomal RNA", at positions 60 to 578 of the family's 1533-position model. The record is from RNAcentral.
AGUCGAACGAGAAUGUGUAGCAAUACACAUGUACAGUGGCGAACGGGUGAGGACUACAUGGGUAACCUACCCUCGAGUGGGGAAUAACUAGCCGAAAGGUUAGCUAAUACCGCGUACGCCUCCCGGACUGCGGUUCGGGAGGGAAAGCGAUACCGUGGGUAUCGCGCUCUUGGAUGGGCUCAUGCCCUAUCAGCUUGUUGGUGAGGUAACGGCUCACCAAGGCAUCGACGGGUAGCUGAUCUGAGAGGAUGAUCAGCCACACUGGCACUGCGACACGGGCCAGACUCCUACGGGAGGCAGCAGUAAGGAAUAUUGCGCAAUGGGCGAAAGCCUGACGCAGCGACGCCGCGUGGGGGAUGAAGGUCUUCGGAUUGUAAACCCCUUUCGGGAGGGAAGAUGGAAUAGGGUAACCUAUUCGGACGGUACCUCCAGAAGCAGCCACGGCUAACUUCGUGCCAGCAGCCGCGGUAAUACGAAGGUGGCAAGCGUUGUUCGGAUUUACUGGGCGUACAGGGAGCGUAGGCGG